GAUUUUGCGAAGUGUAGGAGGCACCCUGUAGAUACAUACAGAAUUGGAAAAGGUAGUCUCUAAAUUUUCUGGAAUGUCAAUUAUCAGUUGAUUGAGUGGUUUUUGAGUUCCCUUGGAAGUGCUUGCUGAGUUAUCCUCCCCCAUCUGUCAAGUUUCCCACCAAUAUUAAGUAUCAACUGCAACACCAUUUUUUCCAGAAAAACACAUAAUUAAAGAAAUUUUAUAUUAAACAAAGAAUUUGGCUGGCAACCAAAUAAAGUAAGUGCAUAUUUUGAUUGAUAAUUUCCCGUUUCACUUCGAUUACACAGAUAUUGCCCUGGUAAAAACAGACUCCUAUGCCUGAGAACACUUCUUAGAACUGGUAUAUUAUAGCCUUAGAUUACGACAAAUGAGUAUCCAUUAAUAAAUAAAGAUGUGAAAACAUGAUUGAAGGCAGAGCUCAAGAUAAAAUGAGAAUUGAGUGCUAAAGAUUUUGAUAUGGGAACUACAACUAAGUUGAUUGAAGAAUUUAGAUAAUUUAGGCGAUUCAAUUUGCAUAAGUGGGCGCGCUCUAUGAAACAAAAUUUCAAAGAUAUUGGAAUUAAGGUGUUCAAGGGAAUAAAAUUCCAGCAACAUCAUAGCUCUGGUAUCAUGCUAAUUCAAUACAAUAUUUUAACUGAUGGUGUUAGGAAAUGGAAGAUAUUUUUUAGAUAAUUACUAUAAUUAAUAAUUAA
This 713-nucleotide unclassified non-coding RNA is filed under the name Hevea brasiliensis (rubber tree). Lineage: Eukaryota; Viridiplantae; Streptophyta; Magnoliopsida; Malpighiales; Euphorbiaceae. The record is from RNAcentral.